This 451-nucleotide ribosomal RNA is filed under the name Leptobrachella baluensis (Kamborangah Borneo frog). RNAcentral describes it as "partial 16S ribosomal RNA". It matches the Rfam family "Bacterial large subunit ribosomal RNA", at positions 1968 to 2597 of the family's 2925-position model. Lineage: Eukaryota; Metazoa; Chordata; Amphibia; Anura; Megophryidae. The record is from RNAcentral.
CUUGUCUUCCAAAUAAAGACCAGUAUGAACGGCGCCACGAGAACUAAGCUGUCUCCCCCCUCUAAUCAGUGAAACUGAUCUCCCCGUGCAGAAGCGGGGAUAAAACCAUAAGACGAGAAGACCCUGUGGAACUUUAAAUUCACAUCAUCUGCUUAUACACUCCUUCACUCAAUAAUUCAGACUUGAUUUGCAUUUUCAGCUGGGGCAUCUAUGGAGAAAACCUACCCUCCAUGAAGAACUUAACCCAAGAGCUACCUCUCUAAGUAUUAAUACUCUUAACCUCACUUGACCCAAUUAUAUUGAUCAACGGACCAAGUUACCCCAGGGAUAACAGCGCAAUCUACUUCUAGAGUUCCUAUCGACAAGUGGGCUUACGACCUCGAUGUUGGAUCAGGGCAUCCUAGUGGUGCAGCCACUACUAAAGGUUCGUUUGUUCAACGAUUAAAGCCCU